GAGGGGCAGCGCGGAGGUAGCAAUACCUUUGGCGGCGACCGGCGCACGGGUGCGUAACACGUAUGCAACCUGCCCUGCAUUGGGGGAUAACCCGGAGAAAUCCGGACUAAUACUCCAUGGUGAUGACAGGAGGCAUCUUCGGUCAUCUAAAGAUUGAUUGAUGCAGGAUGGGCAUGCGGAUGAUUAGCUGGUUGGUGAGGUAACGGCCCACCAAGGCGACGAUCAUUAGGGGUUCUGAGAGGAAGGUCCCCCACAUUGGUACUGAGACACGGACCAAACUCCUACGGGAGGCAGCAUUGAGGAAUAUUGGUCAAUGGGCGAGAGCCUGAACCAGCCAAGUCGCGUGAGGGAAGACGGCCCUAUGGGUUGUAAACCUCUUUUGCCGGGUGAUAAAGUCUGGGAUGCGUCCCACUUUGCAGGUACCCGGUGAAUAAGGUUCGGCUAACUCCGUGCCAGCAGCCGCGGUAAUACGGAGGAUCCGAGUGUUAUCCGGAUUUAUUGCGUUUAAAGGGUGCGCAGGUGGUGGAUUUAGUCCUGGUGAAAUGGUGCCGCUCAACCGCAGCAUUGCAGUUGAAACUAGUUUCAAUUGAGUGAGAACGAGGCAGGCGGAAUUGUGUUGUGUAGCGGUGAGAUGCAUAGAUAUGACACAGAACACCGAUUGUGAAGGCAGCCUGGCAGGCCGCAACUGACGUUGAGGCGCGAAAGUGCGGGGAUCGAACAGGAUUAGAUACCAUGGUAGUCCGCACAGUAAACGAUGAGUGCUAGCCAUUGGCGAUAUAAGGUCAGGGGCCAAGUGAAAACGAUAAGCACUCCACCUGGGGAGUACGUUCGCAAGAAUGAAACUCAAAGGAAUUGACGGGGGCCCGCACAAGCGGAGGAACAUGUGGUUUAAUUCGAUGAUACGCGAGGAACCUUACCCGGGCUUGAAAUCAGUAUGACGUGACCGGAGACGGUCAUUCCAGCAAUGGCAUAUUGGUAGGUGCUGCAUGGUUGUCGUCAGCUCGUGCCGUGAGGUGUCGGCUUAAGUGCCAUAACGAGCGCAACCCUUGCCGACAGUUGCCAUCAUCAGGUUGGGGACUCUGUCGGGACUGCCACCGCAAGGUGAGAGGAAGGUGGGGAUGACGUCAAAUCAGCACGGCCCUUACGUCCGGGGCGACACACGUGUUACAAUGGGGGGGACAGAAGGCAGCGACCUGGCGACAGGGAGCGAAUCCCGAAACCCCUUCUCAGUUCGGAUCGGAGUCUGCAACUCGACUCCGUGAAGCUGGAUUCGCUAGUAAUCGCGCAUCAGCCAUGGCGCGGUGAAUACGUUCCCGGGCC
RNAcentral lists this ribosomal RNA (1320 nucleotides) under uncultured bacterium. Its description in RNAcentral is "bacterial SSU rRNA". It matches the Rfam family "Bacterial small subunit ribosomal RNA", at positions 64 to 1380 of the family's 1533-position model. The record is from RNAcentral.